UUGCACUCUUAAGGUUAAUGCAGAAUUCUUUAAGAGGCAAACUCAGAAGGGUAAAGAAAAUCUCAGAGAAGGGCUUGUACUCUCUGAAUCCUGUCUGGAGUUACAACU
This 108-nucleotide small nucleolar RNA is filed under the name Castor canadensis (American beaver). Its description in RNAcentral is "Small nucleolar RNA SNORA26 (ENSCCNG00000024612.1)". It matches the Rfam family "Small nucleolar RNA SNORA26". Rfam says of the family: The snoRNA HBI-6 belong to the H/ACA family of snoRNAs, guiding the pseudouridylation of position U4522 if the 28S rRNA. The record is from Rfam by way of RNAcentral. Lineage: Eukaryota; Metazoa; Chordata; Mammalia; Rodentia; Castoridae.